Molecule: ribosomal RNA, 255 nt
Filed under: uncultured bacterium
Lineage: Bacteria
Description: partial 16S ribosomal RNA
Rfam family: Bacterial small subunit ribosomal RNA
Source: RNAcentral
UACGUAGGGGGCAAGCGUUGUCCGGAAUCAUUGGGCGUAAAGCGCGUGUAGGCGGCUCAGUAAGUCCGCUCUGAAAGCCCGGGGCUUAACCCCGGGAGGCGGGUGGAUACUGCUGAGCUCGAGUCCGGAAGAGGCGAGUGGAAUUCCCCGGUGUAGCGGUGAAAUGCGCAGAUAUCGGGAGGAACACCAAUGGCGAAGGCAGCUCGCUGGGACGUGACUGACGCUGAGACGCGAAAGCGUGGGGAGCAAAACAGG